RNAcentral lists this ribosomal RNA (3172 nucleotides) under Pogostemon cablin (patchouli). Its description in RNAcentral is "eukaryotic LSU rRNA". It matches the Rfam family "Eukaryotic large subunit ribosomal RNA". Lineage: Eukaryota; Viridiplantae; Streptophyta; Magnoliopsida; Lamiales; Lamiaceae. The record is from RNAcentral.
GCGACCCCAGGUCAGGCGGGAUCACCCGCUGAGUUUAAGCAUAUCAAUAAGUAGAGGAAAAGAAACUUACAAGGAUUUCCUCAGUAAUGGCGAGCGAACUGGGAAUAGCCUAACUUGAGAAUCGGACGACCACGCUAUUUGAAUUGUAUUUUGGAGAAGCGCUCUUAGCAGCGGAUCGGGGUCGAGUCCCCUGGAAUGGGGCGCCUUUAUGGGUGAGAGCCCCAUUGCUCCUGGACCCUGUCACACCACGAGGCACUGUUGGCGAGUCGGGUUGUUUGGGAAUGCAGCACCAAUCGGGCGGUAAAUUCCAUCCAAGGCUAAAUACAGGCGAGAGACCGAUAUCUAAAAAGUACCGUGAGGGAAAGAUGAAAAGGACUUUGAAAAGAGAGUCAAAGAGUGCUUGAAAUUAUUGGGAGGGAAGCAGAUGGGGGCCGGUGAUACGUCUCGGUCAGAUGUGGAAUGGCAAGAGCCGGUCCACCAAUCGACUCGGGGCGCGGACCAGCACGGAUCGAUGCAGCGCUCAAAGCUUGGGUGGUCGAUAUGCUCGUUGUAUGGCAUCGCGCCGAUCCAGGUGGACAGCGCGCGCCUCAUGCGUGCCUCGGUAACUGGCCUGCGAGCUCCCCAUUCGACCUGUCUUGAAACACGUACUAAGGAGUCUGACAUGUGCGCGAGUCAAUGGGCGAUUGAACUCGUAAGGCGCAAGGAAGCAGACCGGUGUGAUCCCCCCAAGGGGUGCACCGCCGACCAACCUUCAUCUUCUGAGAAGGGUUCGAGUGAGCGUACCUGUCGGGAUCCGAAAGAUGGUGAACUAUGCCUGAGCAGGGCGAAGCUAGAGGAAACUUUGGUGGAGGCCCACAGCGAUACUGACGUGCAAAUCAUUCUUCUGACUUGGGUAUAAGGGCGAAAGACUAAUCGAACCGUGUAGUAGCUAGUUCCCUCCGAAGUUUCCCUCAGGAUAUCUGGAGCUCUAGUGCGAGUUCUAUCGGGUAAAGCUAAUGAUUAGAGGCAUCGGGAGUGCAACGCCCUCGACCUAUUCUCAAACUUUAAUAGGUAGGACGGCAUGGCUACUCCGUUGAGCGGCGCUGGAGAAUCGUGAGUUCAAGUGGGCCAUUUUUGGUAAGCAGAACUGGAAAUGCAGGAUGAACCGGAAGCUCGGUUAAAGUGCCCAACUGCGCGCUAACCUAAAUCCCACAAAGGGUGUUGGUCAAUUAAGACAGCAGGACGGUGGUCAUGGAAGUUGAAAUCCGCUAAGGAGUGUGUAACAACUCACUUGCCGAAUCAACUAGCCCAAAAAAUGGAUGGCGCUAAAGCGUGCGACCUAUACUCGGCCGUUGGGGCAAGGGCUAAGCCCCGAUGAGUACGAGGGCACAGCAGUCACUGUAAAACAAUAGGCGCGAGCCCGGGCGGAGCGACCGUCGGUGCGGAUCUUGGUGGUAGUAGCAAAUAUUCAAAUGAGAACUUUGAAGGCCAAAGAGGGGAAAGGUUCCAUGUGAACGGAACUUGUACAUGAGUUAAAAUUCCCGAACUGAGACGCUGUGGUUGACGGCAAUGUUAGGGAGUCUAGAGACAUCGUAGGGGCCUCGGGAAGAGUUAUCUUUUCUGUUUAACAGCCCGCCUACCCUGGAAAUGGCUCAGUCGAAGGUAGGGUCCAGCGGCUAGAAGUGCAUCGCACGUCGCGUGGUGUCCAGUAUGCCCCGAUGGACCUUGAAAAUCCAGAGGAUCGAGUACCGUCCGCGCCCGGUCAUACUCAUAAUCGCAUCAGGUCUCCAAGAUGAACAGCCUCUGGUCGAUGGAACAACGUAGGUAAGGGAAGUCGGCAAAAUGGAUCCAUAACCUCGGGAAAAGGAUUGACUUUGAGGGCUGGGCACGUGGGUCCCAGUCCUGAACCCGUCGGCUAUCGGCGAACUGCUCGAGCUGCUCGCGCGGCGAGAGCGGGUCGUCAGACAGAUUGGGAACGGCUCCCUCAGGGGCCUUCCCCGGGCAUCGAACAGUCAACUCAGAACUGGUACAGACAAGGGGAAUCCGACUAUUUAAUUUAAACAAAGCAUUACGAUGGUCCCUGUAGAUGCUCACGCAAUUUGAUUUCUACCCAGUGCUCUGAAUGUCAAAGUGAAGAAAUUCAACCAAGCGCGGGUAAACGGCAGGAGUAAUUAUGACUCUCUUAAGGUAGUCAAAUACCUCUUCAUCUAAUUAGUGACAUGCAUGAAUGGAUUAACGAGAUUCCCACUGUCCCAGUCUACUAUCCUGCGAAACCAAAUCCAAGGGAACGGGCAUGGCAGAAUCAGCGGGGAAAGAAGACCCUGUUGAGCUUGACUCUAAUCUGACUUUGUGAAAUGACUUGAGAGGUGUAGGAUAAGUGGGAGCCAAAAGUCAAAAGUGAAAUACCACUACUUUGAACGUUAUUUUACUUAUUCCGUGAAUCAGAGGUGGGGCAUUGCCCUCUUUUUGGACCCAAGGCUCGCCCCGGUGGGCCGAUCUAGGCAGAAGACAUUGUCAGGUAGGGAGUUUGGCUGGGGCAGCACAUCUGUUAAAAGAUAACGCAGGUGUCCUAAGAUGAGCUCAACGAGAAUAGAAAUCUCGUAUGGUAUAGAAGGGUAAAAGCUCAUUUGAUUCUAAUUUCCAGUACGAAUACGAACCGUGAAAGCAUGGCCUAACGAUCCUUUAGACCUUCAAAAUUUUAAGCUAGAGGUGUCAGAAAAGUUACCACAGGGAUAACUGGCUUGUGGCAGCUAAACGUUCAUGGCAACAUUACUUUUUAAUCCUUCGAUGUCGGGUCUUCCUAUCAUUGUGAAGCAUAAUUCACCAAGUGUUGGAUUGUUCACCCACCAAUAGGGAACGUGAACUGGGUUUAGACCGUCAUGAGACAGGUUAGUUUUACCCUACUGAUGAUGGUGUUGUAAUAGUAAUUCAACCUAGUACGAGAGGAACUGUUGAUUCGCACAAUUGUUCAUCACACUUGGUUGAAAAGCCAGUGGCACGAAGCUACCGUGCACUGGAUUAUAAUCGAAUGCCUCUAAGUCAGAAUCUGAGCUAGACACGAUGCAUGUGCCCAUCGUCCGCUCCCUGACCCACAGUAGGGGCCUCCGAACCCCAAGGGCACAUGUUGUUGGCCAAGCCCCCACAGCGGACGAGCCACGUGGGCCGCCUCGAAGUAUAAUUCCAAUCGAACAAC